GGGAGGGCCAGCAGUGGGGAAUAUUGGACAAUUGACGCAAGCUUGAUGCAGGCAUGCGCGUGAUGUGAGAAAGGCUUCGGGUUGUAAAGCACUUUCAGUCGUGAGGAAAGGUAGUGUAGUUUAAUAGCUGCAUUUAUUUGACGUUAGCGACAGAAGAAGCACCGGCUAACUCCGUGCCAGCAGCCGCGGUAAUACGGAGGGUGCGAGCGUUAAUCGGAAUUACUGGGCGUAAAGCGCAUGCAGGGUGGUUUGUUAAGUCAGAUGUGAAAGCCCGGGGCUCAACCUCGGAAUUGCAUUUUGAAACUGGCAGACUAGAGUACUGUAGAGGGGGGUAGAAUUUCAGGUGUAGCGGUGAAAUGCGUAGAGAUCUGAAGGAAUACCGGUGGCGAAGGCGGCCCCCUGGACAGAUACUGACACUCAGAUGCGAAAGCGUGGGGAGCAAACAGGAUUAGAUACCCUGGUAGUCCACGCCGUAAACGAUGUCUACUUGGAGGUUGUGGCCUUGAGCCGUGGCUUUCGGAGCUAACGCGUUAAGUAGACCGCCUGGGGAGUACGGUCGCAAGAUUAAAACUCAAAUGAAUUGACGGGGGCCCGCACAAGCGGUGGAGCAUGUGGUUUAAUUCGAUGCAACGCGAAGAACCUUACCUACUCUUGACAUCCAGAGAACUUUCCAGAGAUGGAUUGGUGCCUUCGGGAACUCUGAGACAGGUGCUGCAUGGCUGUCGUCAGCUCGUGUUGUGAAAUGUUGGGUUAAGUCCCGCAACGAGCGCAACCCUUAUCCUUGUUUGCCAGCGAGUAAUGUCGGGAACUCCAGGGAGACUGCCGGUGAUAAACCGGAGGAAGGUGGGGACGACGUCAAGUCAUCAUGGCCCUUACGAGUAGGGCUACACACGUGCUACAAUGGCGCAUACAGAGGGCGGCCAACUUGCGAAAGUGAGCGAAUCCCAAAAAGUGCGUCGUAGUCCGGAUUGGAGUCUGCAACUCGACUCCAUGAAGUCGGAAUCGCUAGUAAUCGUGGAUCAGAAUGCCACGGUGAAUACGUUCCCGGGCCUUGUACACACCGCCCGUCACACCAUGGGAGUGGGCUGCAAAAGAAGUAGGUAGAUAACGUUACAAGGUAACCAUGCUAGACGUUGUCAGA
Molecule: ribosomal RNA, 1141 nt
Filed under: Vibrio sp.
Lineage: Bacteria; Pseudomonadati; Pseudomonadota; Gammaproteobacteria; Vibrionales; Vibrionaceae
Description: bacterial SSU rRNA
Rfam family: Bacterial small subunit ribosomal RNA
Source: RNAcentral